This 463-nucleotide ribosomal RNA is filed under the name uncultured bacterium. Its description in RNAcentral is "SSU rRNA". It matches the Rfam family "Bacterial small subunit ribosomal RNA", at positions 26 to 521 of the family's 1533-position model. The record is from RNAcentral.
AGAGCGAACGCUGGCGGCAGGCCUAAUACAUGCAAGUCGAACGGACCCUUCGGGGUUAGUGGCGGACGGGUGAGUAACACGUGGGAACGUGCCCUUUGGUUCGGAACAACUCAGGGAAACUUGAGCUAAUACCGAAUGUGCCCCCAUCCUUAAACAAGAUGGGUGGGAAAGAUUUAUCGCCAUUGGAGCGGCCCGCGUCUGAUUAGCUAGUUGGUGAGGUAAAGGCUCACCAAGGCGACGAUCAGUAGCUGGUCUGAGAGGAUGAUCAGCCACACUGGGACUGAGACACGGCCCAGACUCCUACGGGAGGCAGCAGUAGGGAAUCUUGCGCAAUGGGCGAAAGCCUGACGCAGCCAUGCCGCGUGAAUGAUGAAGGUCUUAGGAUUGUAAAAUUCUUUCAGCGGGGACGAUAAUGACGGUACCGCAGAAGAAGCCCGGCUAACUUCGUGCCAGCAGCCGCGGU